RNAcentral lists this ribosomal RNA (253 nucleotides) under uncultured bacterium. Its description in RNAcentral is "partial 16S ribosomal RNA". It matches the Rfam family "Bacterial small subunit ribosomal RNA", at positions 524 to 776 of the family's 1533-position model. The record is from RNAcentral.
UACGUAGGGUGCAAGCGUUAAUCGGAAUUACUGGGCGUAAAGCGUGCGCAGGCGGUUCGGAAAGAAAGAUGUGAAAUCCCAGAGCUUAACUUUGGAACUGCAUUUUUAACUACCGAGCUAGAGUGUGUCAGAGGGAGGUGGAAUUCCGCGUGUAGCAGUGAAAUGCGUAGAUAUGCGGAGGAACACCGAUGGCGAAGGCAGCCUCCUGGGAUAACACUGACGCUCAUGCACGAAAGCGUAGGGAGCAAACAGG